Long non-coding RNA from Lynx canadensis (Canada lynx), 247 nucleotides. RefSeq lists it as uncharacterized. NCBI's taxonomy places the organism in Eukaryota, Metazoa, Chordata, Mammalia, Carnivora, Felidae. The transcript has 2 exons. The record is from RefSeq and is a predicted model, not a curated record.
UGUUUCGGGCGCUGCGAGAUGACGCCAACAUAUUCGUGCCACCUGGUUUCACCGCUCAGCUUAGUUCUUGGGUGGGAAGUGAAACAGCAAAUAAGACAAUCAAUUGAGAUAAGGAUUGGGAAGGAGUUGUUGGAGGUUUGAGGAGAGAGAAGAUAUGGAAUAACCAUUUAGGAUGGCAUUCAACCAACUGUGGCCUGUAGGCCAAAUGUGGCUUGUUAUCUCUCUUGAAAAUAAAGUUUUGGGAACA